ACCACCUAUAAUCGUUUUAAUCGAUGGGGGGACGCAGUAGGAUAGGCGAAGCGUGCGAUUGGAUUGCACGUCUAAGCAGUAAGGCUGAGUAUUAGGCAAAUCCGGUACUCGUUAAGGCUGAGCUGUGAUGGGGAGAAGACAUUGAGUCUUCGAGUCGUUGAUUUCACACUGCCGAGAAAAGCCUCUAGAUAGAAAAUAGGUGCCCGUACCGCAAACCGACACAGGUAGUCAAGAUGAGAAUUCUAAGGUGAGCGAGCGAACUCUCGUUAAGGAACUCGGCAAAAUGACC
This 289-nucleotide ribosomal RNA is filed under the name Staphylococcus aureus. Its description in RNAcentral is "partial 23S ribosomal RNA". It matches the Rfam family "Bacterial large subunit ribosomal RNA", at positions 1443 to 1727 of the family's 2925-position model. Lineage: Bacteria; Bacillati; Bacillota; Bacilli; Caryophanales; Staphylococcaceae. The record is from RNAcentral.